Long non-coding RNA from Chinchilla lanigera (long-tailed chinchilla), 236 nucleotides. RefSeq lists it as uncharacterized. The transcript has 3 exons. NCBI's taxonomy places the organism in Eukaryota, Metazoa, Chordata, Mammalia, Rodentia, Chinchillidae. The record is from RefSeq and is a predicted model, not a curated record.
ACAUGCUAUCAGUUUGAGUCAUGCAUGAAACAUCAAUUGUCACGUAGGAAGACUCCCUGGGAGGGAUGACCAGACCUGAGUUACUACAAUACUGACAGCCCACCAACUCUUCUGACUAGAGGAAGUAGCCUCUCGAAAUGCAAGAUACUAAGCUGAUGAAAAUAGAACAACAGUACCCACGUUAAUCUCCUGGCAAGAGGUCAAACACAUGUUAUAUAGACAGAAGUUAUUCAAGU